This is a microRNA precursor of Macleaya cordata, 145 nucleotides long. The record is from Rfam. Lineage: Eukaryota; Viridiplantae; Streptophyta; Magnoliopsida; Ranunculales; Papaveraceae.
AGAGGAUGGAGAUAUUGGCUCGCCUCAAUUUGAAGACUUGGUUAUAUAUAUAAUAUAUAUAGAAUCACAGAUCAUUGAGAUCACUUUAUAUAUAAAAAGUAGCCAUGUAAUCUGAUUGAGCCGCGUCAAUAUCUCCUCCCAUCUC